GUCUUUUUGAGUUAUUUUUAAAGUCUGACCUGCCCACUGAAUAUUUUUAGAUGGCCGCAGUAUUCUAACUGUGCAAAGGUAGCAUAAUCAUUAGUCUUUUAAUUGAAGGCUGGUAUGAACGGUUGGACGAAGUAUAAGCUGUUUCAUAUAAAAUUAUAUUAGAAUUUUAUAUUUUAGUUAAAAAGCUAAAAUAUUAUUAAAAGACGAGAAGACCCUAUAANUCUUUAUAUUUAAUAUUAUUCAAAUUUUUUUGAUUAAUUUUAUUUUUAUAAUAUUAAAUAUUUUGUUGGGGUGAUAUUAAAAUUUAACAAACUUUUAAUUUUGAAUUAGAACAUUAAUUUAUGAAUAGUUGAUCCAUUAUUAAUGAUUAUAAGAUUAAGUUACUUUAGGGAUAACAGCGUAAUUUUUUUUGAGAGUUCAUAUCGACAAAAAAGUUUGCGACCUCGAUGUUGGAUUAAGAUAUAUAUUUAGGUGUAGCCGUUUAAAUAUUAAGUCUGUUCGACUUUUAAAUUCUUACAUGAUCUGAGUUCAA
Molecule: ribosomal RNA, 532 nt
Filed under: Ceratitis fasciventris
Lineage: Eukaryota; Metazoa; Arthropoda; Insecta; Diptera; Tephritidae
Description: partial 16S ribosomal RNA
Rfam family: Bacterial large subunit ribosomal RNA (bases 391-532)
Source: RNAcentral